Molecule: long non-coding RNA, 435 nt
Organism: Ananas comosus (pineapple)
Lineage: Eukaryota; Viridiplantae; Streptophyta; Magnoliopsida; Poales; Bromeliaceae
Exons: 3
Source: RefSeq, a predicted model, not a curated record
CCCUAUCGUCGCCGCCGUCAUCCGUAGCCGCCUCCACCGCAUUGCUCAUUGGCCAUUAUUUUCUUUUGGUUCGUUAUCGACGAAAUCUUGCCGUCGUCUUCACCGUUUUCGAGAAGGUCCCGACGAUUGAAUUUCUGCACAGUUUCGACUGGAUAGUUUCUAUCUUUGAAGCUACGUUAAGGUACUGAGACCGAUUCGCAGGGCGGGGCUGGGAGCGAGUGAACGUUAGAUGUAGCUAGAUUUGAUUCUAGCCUCUUCGUCUUAUUUCUAUUGCAUUUAGAUAUGAACUUUGAACUUCGUAGAUAAUCAUUCGUUUAUCUGUUCCUACUUUAUUGUUUCUUCGUACCUACAAUAUCUAUUAGAACAAUUUCGGUUUGUGUUGCAUCAUAAACUUUAGUUUUGCUUAUAGGAUACUUCAGUUGAUUUUAGUUGCAA